CCUUAUCAAGAGCGGCUGAGGGACCAGGCCCUGUGAAGCCCGGCAACCUGCGCGUGAGCGCAAGGUGCCAAAUCCUGCGGAAAACUCCGGAAGAUGAGG
This 99-nucleotide non-coding RNA is filed under the name Harryflintia acetispora. RNAcentral describes it as "SAM riboswitch (S box leader)". It matches the Rfam family "SAM riboswitch aptamer (S box leader)". From Rfam's summary of the family: The SAM riboswitch is found upstream of a number of genes which code for proteins involved in methionine or cysteine biosynthesis in Gram-positive bacteria. The record is from RNAcentral. Lineage: Bacteria; Bacillati; Bacillota; Clostridia; Eubacteriales; Oscillospiraceae.